RNAcentral lists this ribosomal RNA (433 nucleotides) under uncultured bacterium. RNAcentral's name for it is "partial 16S ribosomal RNA". It matches the Rfam family "Bacterial small subunit ribosomal RNA", at positions 29 to 507 of the family's 1533-position model. The record is from RNAcentral.
CACGCACGCUGGCGGCAUGCCUAACACAUGCAAGUCGAACGAUGCCUUCGGGCAUAGUGGCGCACGGGUGCGUAACGCGUGGGAAUCUGCCUUUCGGUUCGGAAUAACUCAGGGAAACUUGAGCUAAUACCGGAUAACGUCGCAAGACCAAAGAUUUAUCACCGAAAGAUGAGCCCGCGUAGGAUUAGCUAGUUGGUGAGGUAAAGGCUCACCAAGGCGACGAUCCUUAGCUGGUCUGAGAGGAUGAUCAGCCACACUGGGACUGAGACACGGCCCAGACUCCUACGGGAGGCAGCAGUGGGGAAUAUUGGACAAUGGGCGAAAGCCUGAUCCAGCAAUGCCGCGUGAGUGAUGAAGGCCUUAGGGUUGUAAAGCUCUUUUACCCGGGAAGAUAAUGACGGUACCGGGAGAAUAAGCCCCGGCUAACUCCGUG